CGGGUGAGUAAUGUCUGGGGAUCUGCCUGAUGGCGGGGGAUAACUACUGGAAACGGUAGCUAAUACCGCAUAAUGUCUACGGACCAAAGCGGGGGACCUCCGGGCCUCGCGCCAUCAGAUGAACCCAUAUGGGAUUAGCUAGUAGGUGAGGUAACGGCUUACCUAGGCGACGAUCCCUAGCUGGUCUGAGAGGAUGAUCAGCCACACUGGGACUGAGACACGGCCCAG
This 228-nucleotide ribosomal RNA is filed under the name uncultured bacterium. RNAcentral's name for it is "partial 16S ribosomal RNA". It matches the Rfam family "Bacterial small subunit ribosomal RNA", at positions 103 to 334 of the family's 1533-position model. The record is from RNAcentral.